Molecule: ribosomal RNA, 468 nt
Filed under: uncultured bacterium
Lineage: Bacteria
Description: partial 16S ribosomal RNA
Rfam family: Bacterial small subunit ribosomal RNA
Source: RNAcentral
GACGAACGCUGGCGGCGUGCUUAACACAUGCAAGUCGAACGGAAAGGCCCUGCUUUUGUGGGGUGCUCGAGUGGCGAACGGGUGAGUAACACGUGAGUUACCUGCCCUUGACUUUGGGAUAACUUCAGGAAACUGGGGCUAAUACCGGCUAGGAGUUCCUGCUGCUUGGUGGGGGUUGGAUAGUUUCGGCGGUUGGGGAUGGACUCGCGGCGUAUUAGCUUGGUGGUUGGGUGGUGUCUUACCAAGGCAUUGAGAGGUUGCCGGGCUGGGCGGAGAGCAGGCCAAGUUAGAAUUGGACUGAGGCCCGGACCACAAUCGUAAGGAAGGGUGGAGAAGAUUACACAAUGGGCGGAAGCCUGGUGCAGCAACGCCGCGUGCGGGAUGACGGCCAUCGGGUUGUAAUCCACUUUCGCCUGUGACGAAGCGUGAGUGACAGUAAUGGGUAAAGAAGCACCGGCUAACUACGUG